GUAGGCGGAGGAGCAGGGACGCACUGCACUUGCCGGGGGGCAGGGAGUGAGGGGGGCAGCUUGGCUGCUGGUGGAGUUGGCGCCUAUGGUUGGCUGCAGGAACAGCCCCUGGGCCACAUGUUUGGGACCCCUGGUUUAGACUGACCUUUAAUGUUUGUGCCUCAGUCCCAGUCUUCUGAUUGUAGCUUGUGUCCCUUUCUCCCCACCUUUGUCUGUCCUGCCUAGUUAAACUGCUAGCUGUUUGGCAGGGAUUAUUUUACUGUAUAUUUGCUGCUGUGGCAUGAGACAUUGUAUACACAACAUUUCAGUAACUGGGUGAUGUGGUUAUCUUAGGUUCCAGACUGUAGUAAUACACAGAAGAGUGCCAGCAGUAAUGAGAACCAGAACUGUUUUCUUUCCUGCUUCAGAAUGCAGAGAUUUCCAAUGAUCGAGCACCCAGUGGGCCGGCUUACUGAACGCCUUUACCCCAGACUCAGGUUGAGAAGGAGCAGUUCAUCUGGUCACUCAUUGAAAAGCUCAGGAGCUGGGGUAGUCAUCCACCCAGUGAAAACUACUUGCCACAUUCCUUUUCCACAAGAGCACCUAAAGUUAAGUGAGUGAGAGUCGUAGGCAGGUCCAGAUUCAUAAUCCCCUUAUUUUUCAGGCUUAUCUUUUUGAACUUCCACAUAAAAGAUGCAAAACCAAAAUGGUUUAUCAAAUCCCCCUGCCUAAUUUGUACCCCAAGCAAAUUAGUGUGCACUCUGGAGCAUUAUAUUGGUAACUUUUUUAUCUCCUUUUUUCUCUCUCACUGUUUACCCCCAGUAAUAUACAGAAUGUGCAGUAUAGCUUCCACUUUCUCUUUCAGCUAGAAAGAAAAUACAUUGUGUCUUCUUAAAAGUUAAGUACUCUCUCAAGUGUUUUUUUUGAACUUGGGAUGUUGUAUUAGCUUGUCUUAGUUCUUUUAAUCAGUAUUUAUCUAUUAUUUAAGGUAUGAGGCAUUGUUGCUAGGUUUCCUAUAUUGGGUCACUUGAUAUUCUUAUAAAGCAAAUGUUUUCUUAAAUCUGUGGAUAAAAACAAAUUGCAGGAUUCUGUUAACUAUGGUAGUAAUUAAAUACUGGAAACUGCUGAAAACAGUGUUCAAUUUGAGUGAUUUGUAAAGAGGGGUAUACCCCUUUUAGGGAAUCUGCAUGUAUCAUAUAUAGAGAGAAAAUUCUUAAAAACACUAGCCAUUUAGUACAUUCCAAAGAUGAAAACUUUGCUCUUCAGAACAAUCUUUGAGCCAGACAAACAGUAUAUCCAGAGGGGGGGCAUGAAUUCAACCAAAAGCAGAUUAAACCUCAAUAUAGCUCCUUUGCUUCCAACAUUCUUUGGAACUAAGAAUUUCAUCUGUUCCAAAGCAUUUUUAAAGCUGAAAAUUCAAAAUGAGUGUUCUUUUCCAAGAGGCAACCCUGGUCACAGAAACAUCUUUCAUUCUUUCCUUGCAAAUCAACAUCCUGAAGCAUGGAAGUGGUUAUGCUUUAGGGCAGAUAAAUAGGCGGCAGAAAUUACCCAGUUCCCUCAAACUAAUAAUUCUGGAAAUUCUAUCCAGUAAUCAUAAAAUUCAGUAAUGGGAAAUACCUAUUAUGUAAUCUUUUGCAUUGCCUUCCAAGAUUGUUGAAAAAAAUUAAUUUUUUUCCACUCACAUUCUAAAUGUCUCAAGCAAUGAGGUUUCCGCUAAAUUCCCUGGAGACUAUUCUUGAGUCCAGCAGAAUUCACUGUUAGGAAGCUUUAUUGAUGUUCAGACUAAAUUGUACUUUGCUAUUCUUGCAUAUAGCUGUUCUCCCCUACCACCUCCUCAAUCCAUGAUAUUAAACAGUUCUUCUCUCUACUUAGUUUUUACACCUUUAAAAAUAUUGGUACACAGUCAUCAUAUCUUUCCGUUAGUCAUUGGUGACACAGAAACUAUCUCAAAGAACAUUAAAGUUGGAAAGUUGAGCCCUCAAAAGUUAGGAGAUGCCAGAAUUAAGAUUGCCUGUGCAACCUUAAUUUGGCUGCCUUCUGUAUAUGCAUUAUGUCACAGUGUUUAAUUACAUGAUCACGUACUAUUUCUCUCACAGGAUAUGUGCCCCAUUUGGUACACAGGAUGGACUGUGUUCACUUAAUGAGCUGCUAUUUAAUAUUGUGUUUUCUCUUUAUUGUCCAAUGUUUGGCCCCAUGCUUUAUUUACUGCACACUAUACAAACCCUGCUCUAAAAGCAAUAUUAAUAAUUUCAUCAAGGCUAUUUCUAUGGUGCUCAUUACUAUACUAUCUGAGUGCUUCACAGACCUUAAUUUAUCUUCACAAUACCCUAUAAGGUGAGGGAGUGAUAUUAUAUCUAUUUUACAGAUAGGCAAAGAGACAUGAUUAAAAGUUUCCACUAAUUUUGGGCUCCCUAUGUGAGAAUUUUUGACCUGAUCUUUCAAAGUACUUAGUAUUAUCAAGUACUUCCUAUGUUUAAAGAACAUCUCCCAUUGACUUCAGUUGCAGCUGUGAGUGCUCAACACGUCUGCAAAUCAAACCUCAGGAAUCUCAGAUCAGGCACAAAGAAAUGAGGAACACACAAUAAGGGCCAUCUAUGAAAAGUUUGGCCUAAGUGACUUGUCUAGCAUCACAUAGGAACUUUGGGGCAGAGGCAGAACCCAAUUCUCCAGCUCAGCAUUCAACUGCCUUAAAACUAUCUUUUCUCUUCGACAAUUCCUUGCCUCAUUCACUAAAUAGCUUCCAGCUUCUGCAGCAAAUGAAGCAGGGGUCAUGUUUGGUGUGGGCUUUGUUUUUUUAAACAAAAAAUCCAAGUGAUGUGAUGUCCCAGUCACUGUCCUAGGAUAAACAAGAGAGUGAGCGCUUGCCUGCUUGCAAGUUUAUUAAAAGUUGUGUGUGUCUUGGAUCCAGGUGGCAUACAUAGAUUGUGCACACAUGAGAAGGGAAGCAGUGGCAGCAUCCUGAUAUAUUAGUGGGAGAUUAGGUUGCCCCUCAGGAUUCCUGCCUGUAAGAGUCCGGUUUUUUCAUUAGAUGAAUAGUUUGUUUUGGGCAGAAUACACUGGGAUUGCUUUUUUAGGAGGGGAACCAUAUAAUUAAAUUGAAAGAGGCUGGGGAUAGGUUGAUAAAAUUAAUUUGAUGGGAGUGAUCAGCUGGAAUGCUCAUGUCAAAAAGUCACCACUACUAAGGUCAGGUUUAUUAACAAAAAUGGGAUUCUAAAAUAAACAUGAAAGCCCAGCCAAAAUCUCCUCUGUUUUGGCCAUCUCCAUAGUUAUUCUAUGCCAGCGUAAGCCUUCUGCCCUCGCAAGGCUGUUCCUUGCAUUUUUUCCCUCAGGACCUGUCUGUCCCAAACUAAUAACUGUCUUUGGCUAAGGGCUGCUUCUGCUUUCCCAAUGUCUAAUCAGUGCUGCUGCUGCACUAGAGAGUCAAAAGACCCCCACUUAACAUUUUCUAAGCAGGAUCAACAUUUGCAGGGUGUUUUGGGUAGACUGUGUGAAGGAAUUGAUUUCCUGAGGAUGGGUGAUGCACAGAGGGGCAGGAAGGCGAAUGGGCAGGAAGCAGACAUUUUGUUUGCAGGCUAAUCCUUAUGCUCUCAUUCAUUGCCCAAGUAGAAUUAUUACAGGGUUCUUUAUUAUCUGCUUUUCUGGUAUCCCCUACGUGUCAUCAAGCCUUUCUCUUGGUGUGCAGCAAUGGGAGGAGUUAGUCUUACAUUGCCUAAUGAUCAGUUGAAUUGUCCCCAGUACCCUUGGCAGAAUCCUGAGUUCAGCAUUCAAGCCGGGUAAGCUAAUGAUCCAACCAGCGGACCAAAUUUGUUGAUGAAUCCUGGUCACGUGCCACCUGAGGCACAUUGCGCAUACGCUAAGAAGAAGACAACUAAGAUAAUGUGCCAGAAAGCUUAAAACAAAUACCUUUUUUCUAAAGUAGAUUUUGUACUUGAGUUUUUGGAAUAAAUACUUUGUAUAGAUUACUGGGUUUUUUGUUUUGUUUUUGGUUUGUAAUUCUUUAAAGGAGAUAGAUUAAAUCAUAGUAACGAAGGGCUAGAGUCUGUCUGGCCUUUAUGUGGGUGCAUAGAGGAAGUAGGGUGACCGGACAGCAAGUGUGAAAAAUCGGGACGGGGUGGGGGGGUAAUAGGAAUAUAAGAAAAAGACCCAAAAAUCAGGACUAUCCCUAUAAAAUUGGGACAUCUGGUCAUUCUAGGGGGAAGGCUCAGUGAGCCUUCUUCUCUCGCUCCACACUUCUACUUUGCAUGGCCUAGGAAAAAUCCCAAUUCCUGUUCUUGGGGGAAUUGCAGGAUCCUUACUCCAUAAGGGACAUGCAGCACUCCAAGGAGGCAGUGAGGAGGUUAGUCCACAACUCCACUCCGAUUUGCAUCAGGCGGUUGCAUGAGGUAUAAUAAAUUUGUCUCCGCAUAGGGGAUUAGAAGCUGAAUGUCUCCUGGUGUUCCUCUGGGGCAGCAGAGCUCCACACUUUCCCCUGUAUAAUGCCGGGCCUAGAAAACACAAAUCCUUAGUGAAGAAAUUUAAUACAUUUUUACCAAUUAUUUUGUAUAUAGCUUUAGCCAAAAAGAGACAGUUUUAACUUUAAUUUAUUUUAGCACGUCAAAUGACAUGAUGUUGAACCUGUACAUUUGGUAAUAAGUCAAGGGUUUUCAAUAAUUAAGUAAUUUAGUUUGUUUUAACACAGAUAACACCUUUUCAUACAUUUGAUACAAACUUCAAAGAACAUAUGUUUUACCUUAAUGCCAAAUAAGAAGAAAUUUGUUACAUUAAAGUGCAUGCUGUUUGCUUGUGCAUUUGGAAAUACCAGUCAUUUUAUAGCAAUUUUGAGUUAUUUUUCUGUCACUUUGUAUUCCCAUUCAAAGAGACGUACAGAAACCCUCACUCUGAGCAACUCCCUUAGGGUUUACUCAUGGAUGUAGGCAGCGGUGAGCAGGAGGCGUAGUGCACAACAAGCGUAGGUCACAAAAAUGUCAACUUUUAGUAACUUGCACGUAUUAUUGUCCUAUAUUGUGUUCCCUUGAAAUUCAGAAAGUGUCAUUUCGUUACUUUUUUUAAGGUUAGAUGGGCAAAAGAGACUGAUACUUUUUUCUUACUUGUAUUUUUUUUUAAACUGCUGGAUACAUCCCCAUCCCAUGAACCAUGGCCCGAGUUAUAGCUAAUAUUGGACAAACUGCUAUCUAGUGAGAAAGCCAUGUGUUAGCAAUAUCAAACGCUCAUAGUUAGACCAGCGUGCUGAUGUUGUUUUAGCCAGAGAAAGUGCUAAUCUAUAAGGGAACAAAUUACAGCUGGGUACCAUUUUUAUUUGUGCCAAGAUACAAAGUUUAGAGUGUUUGGAUCUGUGAUUUUGAUUUGGUUGUAUCUCUACAGGAUCACAUGCUGAGAGGUCCCCAUGCAACAGCUACCUUGUCUCACAACAGAACCUUUGAGGUUUGGGUCCUAUUUGGAACCAGCAUAGAAGGCAGAGACUAAGAGGCUCGAAAAUGGGAAACAGUUUUCAAUUCUUUUAUCUUAAAUCAUAAGUUAGGUUUUCUCCUUUUUACACUGUUUUCCUUGAGGUCAAAUAUCCUCCUUUCCCCUCUGUUAUCCACACACAAGUAUUCAUGGGUCUUUGGCCUCCUUUAAUAGGCAUGUGCUGGGAACUUAGAUUGGUAAACUCUUUGGAGCCUAAACUGUCUCUUUGUUAUGUGUUUGUACAGCACCUGGCACAGAGAACCCUCGUCUAUUGUUGUACCCCCAUGCAGUACUGCAACACAAAUAAUAAUAAUAAUAAUUAAUAAUAAUUAAUGACUACAUGCUGAUCUCAGCACCUAUCAAAUAUAGAUUGAUGAAUAAGAAGAAUUAGCUCUGUCCUUUUCUGCACUGUCUAGCUCCUUUCAACCUGAGUGACAUUCCUUUCUUUCUAUGCCUCAAUUUAAACCCUGCUCUUGACUCCAUUUCUUCUGGCCCUGCUCCUCCUUGUCCUUGUUUCUUUCCCGUCUGGCCUCAUCCUUCUCUUCUUUUCUUCCAAUACCUGCCCCUGAUUUCUUCUUUCCCUACAAACCAGCUGAAAUCCCUCUUCCCCAAGGCCAGUAAUCAGUGGGAAAGAUAUGUCUUUGUAGGAUUUCAGAUAGUCAUUUUUAAAAAAAGGUUUUAAGGUAGAUAGGUCCUUGGGGAAUCAGGGCAGUAGCACUGGGAGCCUUCAAAACAGCAGGAAGGAAGCAAAGAGAGAUGUCUUGUGUCUGCAGGUGCUGCUGCCUGACCCAUCUGAAAGCUGGCACAGAGACCUGCUUCUGUAGCCACAACUCUCAGGGUUUCCUGCAGGUUAAUGCUGGGCUGAACUAGGGCCUGAACUGGCUGACAAGCCCAACCAUAGACUGGACUGGGAGACACAAGGGAAUUUCCAGAGCCCCAUUAGCACCACCAUGACUAUCUUUUGCAGUGCUGCAAAACCUCAUGAAUGAGUGGGUGAAAGUAGACUGCAUCCCUAUGCAGGCUUGACAGUUAUAUCCUGCACCAUCCCACAGGAGAUUAGAGGCACAAGGGGGGUGAGAGCCAGUCUUAAUGGGAAAAGAAAAUCCUAAAGCCCAUCUCCUUCAGGGGACUCCCUCCCAACCAUAUGCGGGUGAGGGCAGCCCAUCUCCUCCACAGGCAGGCUUGCCAAAGGAGAUGGGGGUGACAUUGUGAAGAAGAUAUAAAUAACUGUGAUUUGAGCAAAUACAUUUUGGAAAUCUUAAACAUUAUCCAUCAUAUAUGAUCAAAUUAUUCAUUAUCUAGUUUAUUUUUUAUUCAGUAAACUCAAUCAGCAGUCUCUCCUACUCUGUAUUUCAAGUCAAUUUCACCAGUAAUGCUUACUUCUCAAUGAAUCUGCAAAACAUCCUUCUCAUUUCAGAAGGGAACAUGUGGUUGCUACCCUGACACUGUUCUCCUGACUAGACUGAGUAGUAACAGUGGAAACUCUGGAAUCUAACUGUAUGUGCAGCGCACUGUCUCAAUCCCUCCUCCCUUUUUUUAAACUAUCUACUUGUAAUCUUUCUCUUUGUAUUUAAUCUCCUCUCCAUGCUUUCUGCAGUGAAGCAUGAUUCUGACACAAUGCAUAUGCCAAUAUCUGUUUUUGGGGUGGAGGCAAGAAUUUCCCUUUUCUUUUCCUAACCCAAUAAAAAGCUUCUUUGCCAAACAACAGUUAGUAUUAAGUGAUCUUCUGCCUUGGAUUUUCUUCUUCUCUUGUAAGGUGAAAUUAGAUUCUCUUCCUAACACAGAAUAGGCCAUGGAAAUGGCUGUCCCUGUCUUUGACCCAACAUUUUAAAAAAAUUAAUUUUUAAUUGUACUAGUUAUAUAAAAUUAAUUUUACUAGUUUCGCAAUAAAAGCUCUUAGAACCUCUCUCUCCAAUGACUAAUUUCUGAAAAAUUGACACAAAGUGUGUUUAUUUAACCAGUGCAGCUUCUCUUUUAUGCAAGAAUAGAUCAGGGCUAUCUAAAUGAAUUGAUCCUUUCCUGUUCUACAACAAUGCAGUGAUGACACUGAUGCACAGUGCAGUCAAUACUUAAAGAGAAGAACAGCAGCUAUCAAGCUAGCAAGGGUAAAUACUCCCUGCUGCUCAGAAGAAGGAAAUACACUCUUUAUAGUUUUGUAAACAAUCUUUUAAGAGCUAGUUCAGUGGAGGAAAUAUGGUCAGAUUUCAUAUAUAUUUUAUAUACAGUUUGUGGUAAUCUCUUAUAACUGAAACACCCUUAGGGAAACCUAGUCUUGUAUGAGUGAGGUACUUCAGUGGUUUACAGCUCUAGUGCUCUGAACAUCACAGAAGGGUUAAUAAUAUACUGUGGUGGUUCUGUAUGCUUUUAAGAGAGUACUAAUUUUGAAUGAUCACUGCUCUUGAUAUUUAAAUAUGCUUUAGUUAUUUUCAAAUAAACGUAUGCAUUUAUGUUAAGUCAGAUAAGAGGAGGAAGUUCAGAGAUGAGUGUUGCACUGUUCUGAACUCAAUGCAUUAGGUAGUACAGGAAUCAUAUAGAGAGAGCUUGUGAAAAUCUUUCAUCUGAAAGAUUUUAGAUUAAAAUUGGCCACCUUUAUUUUGUCUAGAAAUAUUUUGUUUUGAAAUUUUCAGAUUUUUGACAAAAGAAAGAAAAGAAAACCAAACAAAUGAAUUUUUUGGUUUUUGAAAAUGAAAAUUCUUUCUUCUUACUCACCAUUUCCCCUCCCAUUUUCCCAGCCCUCUUUCUUUCUUUUCUUUUCUUUUCUUUUCUUUUCUUUUGCUAAUGAAAAAGAGACAAGUGAGAAAAUUUUCAGUUUGGGGUUUUUUAGUAAAAAAAAAAAAAAAAUCAAUUUUUUUGGAUUUCUUGCCCCAAAGUGUUUUGUGAAGCAUACUUACCAUUUUUCACAAGCUCUGCUUAUGUGCUACAAUUCUAAGGUAAAAUGGAGUCAAAGAUGGAAUAGCUGUCUUAAAUUGGAUUUGUCUUGCUUAUUGCUUCAAAGGUCAGGAGGCCUGGGGUCAGCCAGUCCUGUUCAGUUAGCCUUCCCCUGCUACACCAGUAUUGUGUGGGACUUAAGGAAGAAAAGCCAACAGUUGAGGACUGGCUGGGAAGGAGUGUCCCUGAGCCAGAGGGGAGAGGAGGUCCUUGAGCAUCCAGGUAGGAGACUCUGGGAGGUGGCUGCAGUCAGUUGCAAGUUGCAGAGAGCAGGGAUCUCCUGCAGGAAAAAGACUACAGCCAGGUAGGUUUGGUAGUGGCCUGCCAAAGCAGAAAAGGAAUUGAACUUUGAGCGUGACCCAACUAGAGGGCUGAGUCACAUGAAUCUCCAGGAGAGAUGGAAGACUUCAGUGAAGGGAAACAGAAGCAAGGCAUGAUAAAGCCAAGCCAGGGCACAAGAGGGGAAGAGGGAGGCAGCAACCUGGUAACAUUUAUAGUAAUUAAAUGACACCCGCAACAAAUAUUUGAAUGUACAGUAUUUUAAUGCAAUUUUCUUUUUUUUUUUAAACAUUUUUCCACACUUGUAUUGGUUCAUGAAUUUUCCUUGCAGCUGAUACCAUGUCAAUGAAUCUGUUAUUACCCAACCUCAAUGCAAACAGAAACAAAAUGCUUUGAAGAAAAUAAAAAUAGUUUUCAUUUUAAAUAAAUAUUGUUCUGUGA
This is a long non-coding RNA of Dermochelys coriacea (leatherback sea turtle), 9072 nucleotides long. RefSeq lists it as uncharacterized. Lineage: Eukaryota; Metazoa; Chordata; Testudines; Dermochelyidae. The record is from RefSeq and is a predicted model, not a curated record. The transcript is spliced from 2 exons.